AACCUAAUGAUUUUAUUUCUUGGAUUCCAAGUUCUCUUUACUGCAGUUACAAUGUUGGAAGCAUAAGUGCUAUCAUUCACCAUAGCUGCUGAUUCAAUACUGCCAAGCUUUUGGUUUUCAUAUUUAGUUCUAGCUCUUCUUACGCAUUUCAAUGUUCAGGAACUCCGUUGAAUACCAACAAUUCAGAAAUGGAGCUUCUAUGGAAGAAAUUCUCUCCUCUCCUAAAAGUCUCAGUGCUAAGAAGGUGAAGCUGCUGUUGGAAGUUGCCAAUAUUCACCUAGCCUUGAUCUUAUCCUCUUGCCAUUUGGAAGCUCAGAGAAGUUAAUACUAUUUAUGAGCACUCCUCCGCUUAUAAUGCCUUGAUAAUAUCGGGAUUCAAGUGAUUGGUUGUUCCAAGCCUUGACAAAGCCUGAGACAGAGGUUUUUGCUCCAUGGCAAUAUCAUUUCCCUUGUCUGAGUUUCUUGAAGAUAUUAGAAUUAGGAUUAUCAUCCAAAUAUUAAAAAAAGAAAAAAUAAAAAAAUAGUGGUUUGUGUUCGGUCUCUGACUUUUCCUCCUCUGUUAUGUUACUUAGACUAUUUUGUAUAAAGCAAAUAGAAAGAAUUUAAUAAAACUAAACCAUCUAGUUUAACCCAAACAAAAAUUCUUACUUU
Long non-coding RNA from Ziziphus jujuba (common jujube), 651 nucleotides. RefSeq lists it as uncharacterized. NCBI's taxonomy places the organism in Eukaryota, Viridiplantae, Streptophyta, Magnoliopsida, Rosales, Rhamnaceae. The transcript has 4 exons. The record is from RefSeq and is a predicted model, not a curated record.